GAAAGCAUCUAAGCACGAAACUUGCCCCGAGAUGAGUUCUCCCUGAGACUUUAAGUCUCCUGAAGGAACGUUGAAGACGACGACGUUGAUAGGCCGGGUGUGUAAGCGCAGCGAUGCGUUGAGCUAACCGGUACUAAUGAACCGUGAGGCUUAACCUUACAACGCCGAAG
This 170-nucleotide ribosomal RNA is filed under the name Klebsiella pneumoniae. RNAcentral's name for it is "partial 23S ribosomal RNA". It matches the Rfam family "Bacterial large subunit ribosomal RNA", at positions 2773 to 2925 of the family's 2925-position model. The record is from RNAcentral. Lineage: Bacteria; Pseudomonadati; Pseudomonadota; Gammaproteobacteria; Enterobacterales; Enterobacteriaceae.